UACGUAGGGGCCGAGCGUUGUCCGGAGUUACUGGGCGUAAAGCGCGUGUAGGCGGCUUUGCAAGUCGGGUGUGAAAGCCCUCAGCUCAACUGAGGAAGUGCGCCCGAAACUGCAGAGCUUGAGUGCCGGAGAGGGUGGCGGAAUUCCCCAAGUAGAGGUGAAAUUCGUAGAUAUGGGGAGGAACACCGGUGGCGAAGGCGGCCACCUGGACGGUAACUGACGCUGAGACGCGAAAGCGUGGGUAGCAAGCAGG
Molecule: ribosomal RNA, 253 nt
Filed under: uncultured bacterium
Lineage: Bacteria
Description: partial 16S ribosomal RNA
Rfam family: Bacterial small subunit ribosomal RNA
Source: RNAcentral